UCCAAAUGAUGGCUUGGCACCAGGCUCCUGUCCAGACUCGUGCAAUUUGAUUAGAUAGGGGUAAGAGCAUUCCUGGAGCCAAGCCAAUAACAAUUACUCCCUCUGUUCCUAAAUAUGUCUUUCUAAAGAUUUCAAAUGGACUACCACAUACACUGGCGGAGGGCUCCGGUGAACAGGGUAUGUCACCCGUCAUAUCUUGAUUUUUGGCCAAGAAAAUAAUUAUAUAUGUAUCUAUCGCUUUUGUACCUGGACAUCGGCUUGAGAGCCUCGACAUACCCCACAAAAAAAACGAACGCUCACACACAGAACGAUGCGACAACUCCACCCACCCAGACCUAGCGCGGUGGCGGCGGCUGGCCAGGUCGCGAGGACCAGGCGGGCGCGACGACGGGCAGUCGACGGCGGCAACGGGCUGGGGGCUUGGAGGGCUGCUGCACAGCGGCGGCUCCAGGCCUCCAGCGGCGUAGCAAGCGGCGGCUCCAGCGGCGGCUCCGUCGACGGCUUCACCGGCGGCUCCAGGGGGCGACGGCCACAACCGGGGUCAGGGAUUUUUCUGAUUGCCAGAAGAUGGAAGGAAGGGGGAAGGGACUAGCAAAUUCAAAGAAAAGAGGAAGAGAUUUGAAAAGGUAUUUUGAAGUGAUUGGUAGUGGCAGCAGCUCAAAAACGAAUCCAAGCACCCGCGAAAAUGUCAAUAUUUCAGCAAAUGUCAAUCAUCAAGAUCAAGUGACUUCCAUGAAAGUAGAUCAUGAAAAUUUGAUGCCAACCGAACAAGUGGAAGAACAAACUAUAGAUUCCGUCGAAGCUAUAGUGGAAGAGAAUGUUGAAUUUCACGGGGUUGAAGGUAUAACUGUUUUUAGUGAAGAUUACAUAAAGGGUGAUCCAGGACUUCUGAAAGAACAUGUGGUGUCCCCAUGUUUGGUUUUGGUAAUUGACGACAAUCUCUAUGGACUAAUGGUUGUCUUGAGUUAUAUUUGAAGGUUUGUCCAUAGGCUUUUCUUGGAGUACAUA
Molecule: long non-coding RNA, 1008 nt
Organism: Triticum aestivum (bread wheat)
Lineage: Eukaryota; Viridiplantae; Streptophyta; Magnoliopsida; Poales; Poaceae
Exons: 3
Source: RefSeq, a predicted model, not a curated record